Non-coding RNA from Cyanistes caeruleus (blue tit), 858 nucleotides. The record is from RefSeq and is a predicted model, not a curated record. Lineage: Eukaryota; Metazoa; Chordata; Aves; Passeriformes; Paridae.
UAAUUAUUUAUUAAAUUUAAUAUAACAUUAAAUAUAAUUAUUGCCAUUAUUUAUGUUUUUUAGGCCUGGAGCUGCAAAGGUGUCCUUGGUUCUUGGGCUAGAAAAGGAUUGUUUUCUCUAACUACCCUGCAAAGAGAACUUGCUAACACUUUAUAUGAAGUUCAGAGUUAUAUAUUAAUGCAGUACAGAAUCUGGAAAAUAUGAAAGAUAAAACUUAAGACAUCAACAGUCUUCAGUAUCAAGUCCAAACCUGUCCCAAAGUCCCAUUGACUGCAGGAGAACGUGGAUGGAGGACACAGGACAGGAUUCUGCGAAGUAGUUUUGCAGGGCACACGACUACCUUGGACUUCACAACAGCUGAGACUUGUCAUUUAAAAACAUGGUACUGGUAUUAGAAAAAAAACCCCAAAACUCUACUGAUAUGUAAUUAUUAACCCAUAUAUUGAGAUUUUUUUUAGAGAAUUGCUUCACAUUAAAUACUCAGAUCCUUUCAUUUCUAUUAUUCAUGUGCCAAGCUAAAAAUAAACAUUUGAAAUAUUUUUCUCUUUUAUGGAAGAGAUGGUGAAACUAUUCAUUUGAAAUGAACUCUUGGAUGAAUGCAGCUAUAUUUUCUGGGCUCAGAUCUCUUCUUCUCAAAUGGGAACCUCACAUCAUGUGAGGGAAUUUUGCUUCAUUUUUACUUCAAAACAUUGAUCAAGUAAAGCUUAGUCAAACAGUUUCUAGUUAUUCACAAUAUGUUCAUUUGGGCUUUUAAUUUCAUUACUCUUGAUGUGUUACUAUCACAUUUACUCUAUUUCCCAAAAGUUUGCUUGAAAUUAUUUAGGAGACUAAAUGAAUAAUAAAAGUGCCCAACAAAUA